Molecule: long non-coding RNA, 302 nt
Filed under: Brassica napus (rape)
Lineage: Eukaryota; Viridiplantae; Streptophyta; Magnoliopsida; Brassicales; Brassicaceae
Description: long non-coding RNA (BNAP_LNC016411)
Source: RNAcentral
GAUCAUAAUAUUGAAGUUUCCGCGGCGAAUGAACUGAUGUAACACCAAACGCAUCAAUCUUCAUUCCUCUAUCUGGGGUGGUGUCAUACCAAUCACAAUAGAAUACUACACAACGCAAUCCAACCAUUCCAGGAAAUUGGAUUUCCAAUAUUUCUUUUAUGUUGCCGUAGUAGACAUCGUCACCGGAAGAAGAUGAAACACCAGCAUCAUAUGUUGUCUUAGAAUGACCUUUCCUUGUGAAUGCAUAUCCUCGCGUACAAAAUUUAGGAUAUGAUUUGACCACAUAGUUUGGUUCCUGCACA